GCGCUCGUGGUGAAAUUGGUAGACACGCUGUCUUCAGGCGGCAGUGCCGUAAGGUGUGGAGGUUCGAAUCCUCUCGAGCGCA
RNAcentral lists this transfer RNA (82 nucleotides) under Sinomicrobium pectinilyticum. RNAcentral describes it as "tRNA-Leu". It matches the Rfam family "tRNA". From Rfam's summary of the family: Transfer RNA (tRNA) molecules are approximately 80 nucleotides in length. Their secondary structure includes four short double-helical elements and three loops (D, anti-codon, and T loops). Lineage: Bacteria; Pseudomonadati; Bacteroidota; Flavobacteriia; Flavobacteriales; Flavobacteriaceae. RNAcentral also lists the same sequence under 3 other names. The record is from RNAcentral.